ACCUGAUGAUAAUUACUCACUCCUUCAUCCUGAGAAAGGAUCUUGGCUAUGAAAAAAAAUGGAUCACUAGCUUGCGCAGCAAAUUGAAUGAAACUUUUGUCCGAAGUAAACAUUUCAGUCUGGUGUUCGUUAUACCAUUUAAGGGCAUCAUCUAAGUUCGAGAACUUUUGAUACUUAAAGGCUGCAGCACAUGCUAAGUGUUGACUGAGAUUCUUUUUUUCCGGCAGGUGGUUUUGUGCUUGAGGUUGAGGAUGAUCGGCAGAAAAGAGUAAUAAACUUUUUGACAAAUCACGCUCAUGAAAAUGC
RNAcentral lists this long non-coding RNA (306 nucleotides) under Hordeum vulgare. Its description in RNAcentral is "long non-coding RNA (HVUL_LNC006786)". Lineage: Eukaryota; Viridiplantae; Streptophyta; Magnoliopsida; Poales; Poaceae. The record is from RNAcentral.